Molecule: ribosomal RNA, 301 nt
Filed under: uncultured bacterium
Lineage: Bacteria
Description: partial 16S ribosomal RNA
Rfam family: Bacterial small subunit ribosomal RNA
Source: RNAcentral
CAGUCGCCGCGGGAAUACGUAGGUGGCAAGCGUUGUCCGGAAUUAUUGGGCGUAAAGCGCGCGCAGGCGGAUCAGUUAGUCUGUCUUAAAAGUUCGGGGCUUAACCCCGUGAUGGGAUGGAAACUGCUGAUCUAGAGUAUCGGAGAGGAAAGUGGAAUUCCUAGUGUAGCGGUGAAAUGCGUAGAUAUUAGGAAGAACACCAGUGGCGAAGGCGACUUUCUGGACGAAAACUGACGCUGAGGCGCGAAAGCCAGGGGAGCGAACGGGAUUAGAUACCCCAGUAGUCCCUGUCUCUUAUACA